RNAcentral lists this ribosomal RNA (253 nucleotides) under uncultured bacterium. RNAcentral's name for it is "partial 16S ribosomal RNA". It matches the Rfam family "Bacterial small subunit ribosomal RNA", at positions 524 to 776 of the family's 1533-position model. The record is from RNAcentral.
UACGAAGGGGGCUAGCGUUGCUCGGAAUUACUGGGCGUAAAGGGCUCGUAGGUGGCCAACUAAGUCAGACGUGAAAUCCCUCGGCUUAACCGGGGAACUGCGUCUGAUACUGGAUGGCUUGAGUUUGGGAGAGGGAUGCGGAAUUCCAGGUGUAGCGGUGAAAUGCGUAGAUAUCUGGAGGAACACCGGUGGCGAAGGCGGCAUCCUGGACCAACACUGACACUGAGGAGCGAAAGCCAGGGGAGCAAACGGG